RNAcentral lists this ribosomal RNA (403 nucleotides) under uncultured bacterium. RNAcentral describes it as "bacterial SSU rRNA". It matches the Rfam family "Bacterial small subunit ribosomal RNA", at positions 107 to 507 of the family's 1533-position model. The record is from RNAcentral.
UGAGUAAAGCAUCGGAACGUGCCCUGGAGUGGGGGAUAACGUAGCGAAAGUUACGCUAAUACCGCAUAUUCUGUGAGCAGGAAAGCAGGGGAUCGCAAGACCUUGCGCUCUGGGAGCGGCCGAUGUCGGAUUAGCUAGUUGGUGGGUAAAGGCCUACCAAGGCGACGAUCCGUAGCGGGUCUGAGAGGAUGAUCCGCCACACUGGGACUGAGACACGGCCCAGACUCCUACGGGAGGCAGCAGUGGGGAAUUUUGGACAAUGGGCGAAAGCCUGAUCCAGCCAUGCCGCGUGAGUGAAGAAGGCCUUCGGGUUGUAAAGCUCUUUCGGUGGGGAAGAAAUUGCAUGGGCUAAUACCCUGUGUAGAUGACGGUACCUGGAGAAGAAGCACCGGCUAACUACGUG